UAUCUUUUUUUCUAGGACUGAUACCUGUCACUUGUCCUAAUUCAAUUCUUUGAACUACAAAAAUUUCAGUUUGUGAGGACGUGGAUCUUGUAGGUGUUUUUUCUGGAUGGUCCACUGGAAGUGUUUGGAGAGAGUAGAAUGAGUUGCUGGCCACAAAUGGAAUAUUACAGUUAGAAGUUUUCCAGAUGUGUGGGACAGUUACAUGAGGAGCUACUGGAGACAACGAUGCGGUGCAAUAAGCAGAGGUGCUCCCAGGACUCAGCUACUCUGAAACAGUAUUCCUCUGUGCUUUUGUCUGAACCUACCUGGGACAGAUCCAACUGAAUCUGGCACUAGGAACCUGUGAUCAGCAAGAGAGAUGGAUGCUUUCUGAAUAGAGAGAAAUCUACAGAAAUGAGUCUCUUUGGCAAGGCCCCCUCCAGCAAGAGUCUGAUCUCCAAUUUGAGACAAAGCUCAAGAUAUUUGUCUUCAAAAUCACAGAGCCCAGGGAAAUCCAGGUGUCCUGCCGGCCACUACGUGAUGAGGUGCGACUCGGAUGCAUGGAAGUGAAACCUCAGGCCUUGGAAGAGCCUGGCAGACUUUGAUUUAUAUAUCCAAAGGAUUAACGGGCUGGCCUAACUGCCCACUAGCCCAUCUAACUGCUUACACUAUCAUGGAUCUUCAGAAAAGAUUGUUUCCCGCCACAUCCUGAGAAGCUGAGAGGCAAAGUGGACAGUGAGAGAGAGAGAGACUGAGAGAAAGGACUUCCUUUUUGCCGUUGGUUCACCCUCCAAUGACCGCCACGGCUGGCGCACCACGCUGAUCCGAUGGCAGGAGCCAGGUACUUCUCCUGGUCUCCCAUGUGGGUGCAGGGCCCAAGCACUUGGGCCAUCCUCCACUGCACUCCCUGGCCACAGCAGAGAGCUGGCCUGGAAGAGGGACAACCGGGACAGAAUCCGGCGCCCUGACCGGGACUAGAACCCGGUGUGCCGGCGCCGUUAGGUGGAGGAUUAGCCUAUUGAGCCGCGGCGCCAGCCCUAACUCUUGAAUUUAACAUUGGACUCACAAGUAUACAUGAUAUUACUUUAAAAAUGAAAUGAGAGGACUGUGAUUGGAUGAUACAUUGUGAUACAAGAAUAAUGAUUAAAUAAUUGUGUCUACUUAAGGUACAGUUAAAAAUCAUUUACAAAAAUAUCACAGUGAUAUUAGCUUUUGCUAAAUAUAGUAUGAGCCAUGUUUUUUCUUGUUAUGUCUGUGACCUUGUUGAUUAGUCUCUAAUGGUAUAUCUAUUGCUAUGUAGCAAAUUACCACUCUCCUAAGUUUUAUGGCUUUAAACAAUAAGCAUUUAUUAUAUUAUAGCUUCUGUGGGUGAAGACUUUGGGGUGGUUCAGCUGGGUGAGUCUUGCUCAAGAGAUUGCAGUCAGAAUGUUGGCAGGGGCAGCAGUCAUCUGAAGUCUUGACUGGAGCUGAGACUCACUCUCAUGAUGGCAGACGCCCAAGGCUGGGUGCAGGGAACUUCAGUGCCUCACCAUGUGGGUCUCCUCCUAGGCUUAUUUGGUUGUCCUCACAAUAUGGCAACUAGCUUCUCCCAGACUGAUCCAAGCAGAAAAGCAAGGAGGAGGACAUCAUGUCUUCUACAACUUAAUUUCAGAAGUCACAUAGUACCAUUUCUGCUAUAUUCUACUCAUUAGAAGUGAGUCACUAAUUUCAAUCAAGGGAAAAAGGGCUAGCAUGGGUGUUUGGCCCAGAAGUUAAGAUGUUGCUUGGAAUUUCCCAGUCCCAUAUUGAUGUACCUGGAUUUGAUUCUUGAUUCCAGCUCCUGACUUCAUCCUGUGCUAAUGCACAUCCUAGGAGGCAGCCAGUGAUUGUUCAAGUAAUUGGGUCCCUGCCACCCAUGCAGGAGACCUAGAUACCUGGAUUGAGUUAGAGUCUCCUGGCUUUGGCCUGCCCAGUCUUAGCUAUUGCAAACAUUUAUGGAGUGAACCAGCAGAUGGAAGAUCUCUUUGGGUCUGUCUUUUGCAUCUCUUUUUUUUUUAUUCUACUUUUUUAAACAUUUUUUGACAGGUAGAGUUAUAGACAGAGAGAGAGACAGAGAGAAAGGUCUUCCUUCCAUUGGUUCACCCCCCAAAUGGCUGCUACAGCUGGAGUUGUGCUGAUCCAAAGCCAGGAGCCAGGUGCUUCCUCCUCAUCUCCCAUGCAGGUGCAGUGGCCCAAGUGCUUGGGCCAUCCUCCACUACCUUCCCGGGCCACAGCAGAGAGCUGGACUGGAAGAGGAGCAGCCAGGACUAGAACCCGGCAUCCAUAUGGGAUGCCAGUGCCACAGGCGGAGGAUUAGCCAAGUGAGCCACAACGCCGGCCCUCCCUGUCUUUUCAACAUGUGUAGUGGAUUGCCUCCCAAUUACAAUUCACAUCACCUUCCCUUACCCUCCUUUUGAAUGCCCACAUGCUGUCAUAUAAUUUUUGUUAUUUUAAUAACACAUUCUCAAUAUACAUGGUAUAUCCACAUUCUCAAUAUACUAGAAUCUACAUAGUAUGUCCUAAGUGCCUGACUGCAUAGAAUUCUGGAGUUGGAACAAAAAAACACACUAGAGUUCCUGUAACUCAGCCCACUACCUUUUCUACAUCAUCUUUUAGAGCAUUGCUCAGAGCUGUCCAUUUAGGAUCUAGCUGCAUAAUUCUACUCAAAAAAGGUCACUAUCCUGCUACCAUGUUAAGAUACUUAGCAAAAAUUCUUGAUUACAGGAUUAAUCUUAAUUACAGAAACCCAUAUACUAAAGAAAGCAAGCUACGGGCGCCGGUUCUAGUCCUGGUUGCUUCUCUUCCAGUCCAGCUCUCUGCUGUAGCCUGGGAAAGUGGUGAAGGAUGGCCCGAGUGCUUGGGCCCCUGCACCCACAUGGGAGACCUGGCUCCUGGCUUUGGAUCGGCACAGCUCCGGCCGUUGCGGCCAUUUGGGGAGUGAACCAAUGGAAGGAAGAUCUUCCUCUCUGUCUCUCUCUCACACUGUCUGUAACUCUACCUGUCAAAUUAAAAAAAAAAAAAAAAGCAAGCUAAUGAGACACAUUAGCAUAUCAGGGAAGUCACAUGAUGUGACAACUUUCACAUAGGAAAUCUUUACUCUUCUGUUUUUAUUUUUUCUUUUAUUGUUUUAAGAUUUAUUUUAUUUAUUGAAAGGCAGAGUUACAGAGAGAGAGGUAGAGAUCUUCCAUCCUCUGGUUCAUUCCCCACAUGGCCGUAAUGGCUGGAGCCAGAGCUGGAUUCAAAGUGAAACAGCCAGGACUCUAACCAUAUAGGAUGCUGGCACUGCAGGCAAUGGCUCAACCCCCUACACCACUGGCCCCUGCUGUUACCCUUUUAAGAACAUCUCUGAUGCCUUGACAAGUACUUUUGGCAGGAAAUCAUCCUGUAACACGGACUCUUCCUCUUAUCUUCCCCAACUGAGUUUUGGGGUGAUGCUGUCCUCUAUCAUUGGUCUGGAUUUUUCUUCUCCUAAAGACAGAGAAAAUGGUAAAAGAGUCUCAUUACUGGAUACUGGCCCUGAUUCUGCAGCCUAUGAGUAAAUGAGUUAGUACUGUUUACCUAGGAGGUUUGUAAUGAUUAUUUCCUGCUUUAAAUUCAAUCCUGAUUUUCCUGCAAAUGCAGCAUUCAGAGGAAAAGAAAGAACUCAGCUGUCUGUACAAACAUAUGGAAAUCAAUGAUAAAUGGACAGAGACUGCACAGUAUAUUUAUUAACCAAGCUCAUAUAAAUCAUAAUUUUUCAACCAUUUAUUAAACUAAUAGGAUUGUUUGGGAACAUCAAAGGAUUCUUUAUUAAGUAAAUAAUCAUGUUUAUCCACUCAGUUAUGGGGAAAAGCAAAUCAUUCACACUGCAUUUACUCUGCCUCAUCUGAUUUCAUUUCUCUUAAAUGUCAGCCGUUGAUAAUUUUUACCAAACAACCUGGAAAAAAGUCCAAAUUUCUACUAGAUUUCAGCCAGCUCUCCAGUUCAGGAAAAGGACUACUGCUUGCUUCUCAGAUUUUCAUUUCUUUUUUCCCCAAUUGGGUAAAUUUUCUAUGAGGCUUAAAUGACUGUUCCAUGGCAAACACACAUUUAGAUAGUUGGCCAUCUAGACCAAAUCAUCCUUUCUUCAUUCAUUCUGUGUCAUUCUAUUUGUUAUCUGGCUACCCAGGCACAUCGCAGUGACCCGCUUUGUUAAUUAAGCAUGAGCCAGAUACCUUCAGCACCUGGGACAAGUCCCUCUGUCCAUUCUUGUUCACUGGUAUUGGCUCAGAGAACCCUGACUUUCCCCAGUGUGAAUCGGAAUAAAAUGUAAUUAGGAAGUGAAGUCUACUGCCUAAUUGGAAGGACAUCCUCAAACAUUUGUUUUUGUUUUAUUGGUGAUUUCAGUGUUUUGAUUGGUGAUUUCAGUGUUGUCCUGAAAAAAUAUUCUUAUAAAUCAGAAUCUUAUAGAUAAAAAUGUCUUUUAUCCAUAUUUAACAUGCACUGGGGAUGCUCUACUCCUUACUAAAUAGAUAUUGAUCCCUCUAAGGCCAGUCAUUGGGCACAGUGAGAAAUAUGAAUGUUUAUAGAGUUAUUCACUAAAUAAUUAUUCCUGGCUCAAAGCUAGACCCUGUUUGUUACACUGGAGAUAUAGAAAUAAACAAAAAACAAGAAUCCCGAGGAAGCUGCAGUUCUAGGGAAAAGAUUAAACAAGUAAAUAGCAAAUAAAAUGUUCAAGUAGCAGCCAAUGUGAUCAAGCAAGUUAAAAUUUGACAGAAUAAUCUGAGAAUGAGUGAUAGCAUCAUAUAAGGUAGGCUCAGGCCCUGAAAGUUAAUAUUAGGAAUGCAACUUAAUUUGGAAGGGGAGAACAGUCAAUGAAGGUAUAUGGAAGGUGAUAAUUGAUUUACCUUUAAUGAGAAGCAGAAUAAGGCAUAUUCCUUUCCCUGGAAGAAUUUACAUUCAAGAAAGUUUCUAAGACUGCAUUCAAUUUGUUAUCUAAUCUUAAAUAUGUAUCUAUGAGCUUUGUGUUAAAAAUAGUAUAAUUCAGACAACUCAGUAAUUAAAUAUGAGUCCAUACUGAUGAAAAUAAAUAAAGUAAUACAUAAAUAAAAUUGGGGAAAUGGGCAAAUCUUCCUUUGGAAGAAUUACUUGGAGUAUGUGCAGAUACUCUCACCUCAGAGCCUAAUGUUCCCUUACUUGAGGCCGUUCUGGACCUAGAGCCUUGAUUUCAGAGAAGAGAGUAUGGAAAGGUCAAGCCAGAAACUUUGGAAAAUCUGACAAAUACCACCUUACCUAAGUGAUAAAGCUUAACAUCAUCAAGGCAAAGUCAUGCUAAUACCAUAUAACAUCUGAUAUGAUACAUUAAAAAAGAAUUCAGUUCUAUGUUAUACAUCUCCAAAGCCUACAACCCUGGUCCAAUCCUGAGAAAACACCAGAAAAAUGCUUUAAAUACAUUCUAUGAAAUUCCUGAUCAAUGCAUUUCAAAACUGUCAACGUCAUGAAAGAUCACCAUGGAUUGGUGGUAACUGAGGAGCUGUGAUAACUAAAUUUACUGUAGAAUCCCAGAUUGAAUACUGGAACAGGGAAAGAAUCUUAGGGGAGAAACUGUUGAAAACCAAAUAAAAUCUGUAAUGUAGUCUGAUAGUGUACCAAUGUUAAUGUCUUAGUUUUGACAAAUGAUCAUGGUUAUGCAAGACAUCAUUAGGAGAAGGAGGGUAAGGGUAUGUGGGGAUCCUCUGUAGUCUCCUGCAAUUAUUCUAUAAAUCUAUCUUCAUCCAAAUUAAAGAGAUUUGAAAAAUGCUCA
Molecule: non-coding RNA, 5758 nt
Organism: Oryctolagus cuniculus (rabbit)
Lineage: Eukaryota; Metazoa; Chordata; Mammalia; Lagomorpha; Leporidae
Source: RefSeq, a predicted model, not a curated record